Molecule: long non-coding RNA, 266 nt
Filed under: Elaeis guineensis (African oil palm)
Lineage: Eukaryota; Viridiplantae; Streptophyta; Magnoliopsida; Arecales; Arecaceae
Description: long non-coding RNA (EGUI_LNC058059)
Source: RNAcentral
AACUUGGGUCAUAUUUAUGGAGCAUAUUAUGGAACAAUCUGAUUCACCUUGUAAAGAAUCACAUAUCUAUUGUGUACUUUCCAGUAUCAAUUUCUUCCUAACAAACAAGUAGAGAUUUGUAUGAUCAAUUGUAACUUCUUCAUGCCAAUUGAUCAUCUCUUUUGCACCAUUCCUUCGCUUUCUUCCUCUCCACCUUGUUUAUUCAUUGGGUAUCAUAAGUCAAUCUUCUUCCUUGAUCUUCAUAACUAAUAUUUAUUUAGAAUGAG